RNAcentral lists this ribosomal RNA (719 nucleotides) under Otiothops birabeni. Its description in RNAcentral is "SSU rRNA". It matches the Rfam family "Eukaryotic small subunit ribosomal RNA", at positions 407 to 1130 of the family's 1831-position model. The record is from RNAcentral. Lineage: Eukaryota; Metazoa; Arthropoda; Arachnida; Araneae; Palpimanidae.
CUACCACAUCCAAGGAAGGCAGCAGGCGCGCAAAUUACCCACUCCCGGCACGGGGAGGUAGUGACGAAAAAUAACAAUACGGGACUCUUUUGAGACCCCGUAAUUGGAAUGAGUACACUCUAAAUCCUUUAACGAGGAUCUAUUGGAGGGCAAGUCUGGUGCCAGCAGCUGCGGUAAUUCCAGCUCCAAUAGCGUAUAUUAAAGUUGUUGCGGUUAAAAAGCUCGUAGUUGGAUCUCAGUCGCAGACGAGCGGUCCGCCUACCGGUGGUUACUGCCUGUUCUGGACAGUCCGCCGGUUUCCUUUGAUGAUCUUCACCGGUUGUCUUGGGUGACCGGCAAGUUUACUUUGAAAAAAUUAGAGUGCUCAAAGCAGGCGUGACGCCUGAAUAAUGGUGCAUGGAAUAAUGGAAUAGGACCUCGGUCUUAUUUUGUUGGUCUUCGAGACACGAGGUAAUGAUUAAGAGGGACAGACGGGGGCAUUCGUAUUGCGACGCUAGAGGUGAAAUUCUUGGACCGUCGCAAGACGAACUACUGCGAAAGCAUUUGCCAAGAAUGUUUCCGUUAAUCAAGAACGAAAGUUAGAGGUUCGAAGGCGAUCAGAUACCGCCCUAGUUCUAACCAUAAACGAUGCCAGCCAGCGAUCCGGCUGUGUUCCUCAAAUGACACGCCGGGCAGCUUCCGGGAAACCAAAGCCUUUGGGUUCCGGGGGAAGUAUGGUU